Molecule: ribosomal RNA, 453 nt
Filed under: uncultured eukaryote
Lineage: Eukaryota
Description: partial 18S ribosomal RNA
Rfam family: Eukaryotic small subunit ribosomal RNA
Source: RNAcentral
AGCAUGAGAAAUGGCUACCACUUCCAAGGAAGGCAGCAGGCGCGUAAAUUACCCAAUCCUAAAACAGGGAGGUAGUGACGAUAAAAUAACAAUGAUUCAAUGAUAACAAAGUUGAAUUAAUUGGAAUGAGAACAAUAUAAAUCCCUUAUCGAGUAACAAUUUCAGGGCAAGUUCUGGUGCCAGCAGCCGCGGUAAUUCCAGCUGAAAAAGCGUAUACGAAUAUUGUUGCAGUUAAAACGCUCGUAGUUGGAAUAAAACAUGGUUUUCUAUUUUUUUUUAUUUUAAAAUGUAAAAAAGUAUAGAAUAUCAUUUUUUAAUUUUAUAUAUCUCCUAAAAAAGAUAUAUAGUGUUUACUUUGAAUAAAUUAGAGUGCUUUAAGUCAGAUUGAGAUUUAAAUUUUUAAAUACUUUUUUUGACGUUUUGAAUAAUUUAGCAUAGAAUAAAAUAAUAAGA